GAACAAGGCAAGGAAGAAGAGGCCAGAAGAAAUUCUUGAAAUCAUCAUAAAGAAAUUUAAACUCCUCCUUCAGGAGAAAAUGACUCUAGAUGCGAAAGUGCAUGUGUUGACAUCCUACCUGGAAGCCUUUGAAGAGUUCCAGCAAAUGACAGGAGACCAAGAGACCCAAGACUGGAGUGAGGCCCAGGAACCAAACCAACCAGAGAUGCUGCAGGAUAAGCACAUCCCCAGGAUGGUGCAGGAAAAGACAAAUCAAGACCGGGAGGUAAAAACAUUAGAACGAGGAGCUGCAAUGUGCCUGCAGCCUAAGAGGGGGAAAGGAGUCCUUGGGAGGAUGUAGAGCGGUCAUUGCUGCAGUCAUCCUUCAGAACAUGAAACUGGCCAUGAACUCGAGUUAAACCAACCUUUGGUUUUGACCAUUUGGUUUCACAAGCGGACAGCCAAACCAAUCUAGUUGAAGAGCUCUGCAUGUGGCUGACAGCAGCUUUCCUAAGGGCUUGCAUUUGAAAUGGGAUCUCAGGGCAAUCUCUGCCGGCCACUUUCCUGACACAAACUCAUUUCUUGUCUCAGAUCUGCAGUGGCCUUCUCACUGAAGCAGCUGCUUCAGCAGCAGCAGCAGCAGCAGCAUCCCAAGGAGCCUUUGCUCUCCAGCUGGAGAAGUGGAGCUGGGGCACUUGGUUCACCUCCUGUGCUGACCCAGCUGCCGCUCAGCAACAGCGGAUCGAGGAUGACUCCCUGCAGCAAUGGAGGAGAAUGGUGAAGAUGGAAAAUCCCAUGAUGAAAUACACUAAUCUGGAAUAUAUUGGCAGGGGGACUUUUGGAGAUGUUUGUAAAGCACUCGACACUGCCACAGGAGGAGAGGUAAAUG
Long non-coding RNA from Passer domesticus (house sparrow), 868 nucleotides. RefSeq lists it as uncharacterized. Lineage: Eukaryota; Metazoa; Chordata; Aves; Passeriformes; Passeridae. The transcript is spliced from 4 exons. The record is from RefSeq and is a predicted model, not a curated record.